RNAcentral lists this ribosomal RNA (1518 nucleotides) under Armatimonadota bacterium. RNAcentral describes it as "bacterial SSU rRNA". It matches the Rfam family "Bacterial small subunit ribosomal RNA". Lineage: Bacteria; Bacillati; Armatimonadota. The record is from RNAcentral.
UCGAUGGAGAGUUUGAUCCUGGCUCAGGACGAACGCUGGCGGCGUGCCUAAUGAAUGCGAGUCGAACGAGAUCCAGGUGGAGUCUUCGGACAAUACCUGGUGACAGUGGCGAACGGGUGAGUAACACGUGGGUAACCUGCCCUUCAGUCGGGCAUAACAGGGGGAAACCCCUGCUAAUUCCCGAUAUGCUUACGCGGCACAAGUCGCGUAAGGAAAGCUCCGGCGCUGAAGGAUGGACCCGCGGUCGAUUAGCUAGUUGGUGAGGUAACGGCUCACCAAGGCGAUGAUCGAUAGCCGACCUGAGAGGGUGACCGGCCACACUGGGACUGAGACAUGGUCCAGACUCCUACGGGAGUUAGCAUCAGGGAAUCUUGCACAAUGAGCGCAAGCUCGAUGCAGCGACGCCGCGUGGGUGAUGAAGGUCUGCGGAUCGUAAAGCCCUGUCAGGAGGGAAGAAGUUCUGACUGUACCUCCAGAGGAAGCCCCGGCUAACUACGUGCCAGCAGCCGCGGUAACACGUAGGGGGCCAGCGUUGUCCGGAAUUACUGGGCGUAAAGCGCGCGCAGGCGGUCUAGUAAGCAGCGGGUGAAAUUCCGGGGCUCAACCCCGGCGCUGCUCGCUGAACUGCUAGACUAGAGUACGGGAGAGGGCAGUGGAAUUGCCGGUGUAGCGGUGGAAUGCGUAAAUAUCGGCAAGAACACCAGUGGCGAAGGCUGCUGCCUGGAACGUUACUGACGCUGAGGCGCGAAAGCUAGGGGAGCAAACGGGAUUAGAUACCCCGGUAGUCCUAGCCGUAAACGAUGGACACUAGGUGUUGGGAGCAUCGACCCUCCCAGUGCUGUUAUGCUAACGCGUUAAGUGUCCCGCCUGGGGAGUACGGCCGCAAGGUUGAAACUCAAAGGAAUUGACGGGGGCCCGCACAAGCGGUGGAGCAUGCGGGUUAAUAGGAUGAUACGCCUAGAACCUUACCAGGGCUUGACAUCGUAGGGACAGCCUGUGAAAGCAGGUCUCCUGGGUAACCCCCAGGUCCUAUGACAGAUGGUGCAUGGUUGUCGUCAGCUCGUGCCGUGAGGUGUUGGGUUAAGUCCCGCAACGAGCGCAACCCUCGCCAGAUGUUGCCAUCAGUUCGGCUGGGCACUCUUCUGGGACUGCCUGAGUAAUCAGGAGGAAGGAGAGGAUGACGUCAAAUCUGCAUGCCUCUUACGCCCUGGGCUGCACGCGUGCUACAAUGGCGAGUACAAAGGGUAGCUAAGCCGCGAGGUGGAGCCAAUCCCCCAAAACUCGUCCCAGUUCGGAUCGGAUGUCUGCAACUCGACUCCGUGAAGGUGGAAUCGCUAGUAACCGUGGAUCAGCAACGCCACGGUGAAUACGUUCCCGGGCCUUGUACACACCGCCCGUCAAGUCACGAAAGCAGGUAGUACCCGAAGUCCACUGCGGUGGCCGAAGGUAAGACCUGUGAUUGGGACUAAGUCGUAACAAGGUAGCCGUACCGGAAGGUGCGGCUGGAUCACCUCCUUU